CACCCAAUCCGAAUCUUGAAGUACUUCCUCUACCCUGUGUGGCUCAAUAGAGGAAACAAAAGAGUAAUGUUCAUAAAAAUGAGCAACACGAGAUCGAGUAGUUACCCCCUGUCACACCCAGCUUUAAGGAACAAAGCCGGGUGCAUCUCAUACAUGCGCCAAAGAAGACAACAUAUAUAAUAACAGAGUGUAUAGAGAUAAAUGUCAUAAAACAUCAGAGUAUUUAUUACAUAGCGAAAGACUUAAUACAAAAUAAAAGAGUAAACAUAAAACGAACUAAGGAUCGUCGGCGCCAAUGUCAACUGAGAAACGCCACCUAGAUCAGAUCAUACUCCUCGCCUUGUGGCUCCUCCUGAACCACCUGCUCUUCUCCUGUGGGGGGUGUGAGAAAGCAAGGGUGAGCUCACACAUGAUCAUCGCUCAACAAGUUGUGGGGAAUAAUGUGACAUGAACUCACCAAAGGUGGGAGUUCAUGAAGUGUAAGGCUGAUCAAUGAUAUAAGGCUGAAGCUGAGCAUUGCUUUUAAGUUGGUCAAAAUUUUAUUAGGAAUUACUAAGUGUAAGUAAAUACCAAACCAUAGUAAUAAUAAGUAAAAGUAAUAAUAAAAUAAUCCCAAAUGUAAUGAUAUGACAAAUUAAGUUUAAGUUCCAUAAAUUAAUCAUGUGAGUGUCCGAGCCGCUCAUGACCGUGAGCACGGCUAGUAUACCAGUUUUACACUCUGCAGAGGUUGCGCAUCUUUACCCACAAGUCAUGUUACCCAUCUGCCAAGGGAUCGCGACUUCCCAUACACCUCUACCGAGGAGGCGAGGCAGGGUAACACUAUGAGGCCUUUACAAAGUUCCACUAGCUUCAGAAAACCCGCUACAGUUUAUAGGAAGCUCCAAUGCAGGGUUCUUGCCUGACCGCCAUCGCAGCAAAAUCAACCCAAGGACCUCCCUACACUGACCACUCCCCUACUGCCCUUGCCCCUUUCAGGUAAGGUAGUCAUCCACUAGCUUUCCUAGUUAAUCAGCCAAGGGCGUCCCAUUAUACCCUUGUGGUAGCACUGUUUUCCCGGGUGGUUCUCCAUGUUCCCAUUAACAUAAUGAUCUUAUCAUGAAUAAUAAUAAACAGAUAAUAAAAAAGUAUAACAAUGAGUGAUGAAUAUCUUUAUACCCAAAGCCACAUAAAGCAAUAACAUAUACUACCCAAAAAGCUUGUAGUAAAACCAGUGGUGAAACAAGGUAUAAAGAUAGUCAAAAUCUAGGGUAACCUAUUGGGUCCCAUCAAAAUUAACCUAUGCAGAUCAUUAUGAUUAAUAAGAACAUGAAUAGGUAAAAGAAGUGAUCAAGGGCACAACUUGCCUUCAAUGAGCUCCUGCUCAGCUACUUCAACCUACUCCUCACCAGGAUCCUCGGUCACGGGCUCUUCUACUCGCCACAAUACAAACAAACACAGUGCAUAUAGAGAAAUUAACAUUACACCAAACAUAUAAACAAAAUACACAGUAAUAAUCUACACAUUAAAAUAAAAUCCUAGGAACAAGAAUCAUAAUUUUUCGAGUUAUAGAUUUUAAGUUAUGGAUUUUCAAAGGUUUUAUGUGUUUAGAAUAGGAUUAAGUGUGGGAUUAAUUGUCUUGCUGUUGUCAUGAUAAAACAGGGACACUAAGUGAUAGAGAAUUAAAUUACAAAAUUUUAGGAACUGGAAUGGAGUAAUUUGGACUAAAGAUUAAUUUUCUAUGAAUUUUAUAAGUUCUAGCACUCAUUUAUAUAUUAAAAAUCCAUUUAAAAUUUAAUUUCCCUGAUUUUACAAUGCUCUGGACUGGGCCUCAAUAUCUGAGAACAGCAGGGGUCUCGGGGUAAGUGUUUCUAAGACUCAGAGAACCCCAGGCAUGGACAACGGGUUUAUUCUAUAAACAUUGAGGGGCGCAUGUGCAAAUUUGACCCGUGAAGGGGUAUCGACAAAUCUCGGCCGCCCGAUCAAAAGAGGACGCUACGGAUUAGACCCUCAUCCUUAUAAACUAUCGUGCGAUCACAGCCAUCGGUUACAGACCUACGGUUCUGAUUUAAAGCCCUACGGUUUGAUCACAAGCGCACAACCGUAGAUCAACGGCCAUGGUGAGUCUCACCCAAUCGGUACAUCUAGUUAGAUCUGAACCGCACAUCGCACAUCGACGGUCAGAAACCCAUCUGCUUCCUCCCCCCCGACCACCAGCGGCGCCGCCGGCCGGAACACGGCGACCCAUGGCCGGACUACCUACGAUUCCACGCAUCGGAGCGCUAAUUCCAAAUUCAAACUACUCUACACAUCGACCGGUGAAACGCGAAGAAGAUGGUACACCGAUUACCUCUAUUCGCGGCGAAGAAUCCCCUGGCCGCGCGAUGGCGCAAUCCCGCGGUGGAGUCCCAACAACGGUGAGAAAUUCCGCCCGCACCGGUCGUUCGUAGCCACCGCACCUCCCUUUGCAACGCCCGCCGCGGCAACUCGAACACCCAGAGCUAUCCCCGGAAUGAAUGAGGGCGAGGAACGUCGAUUCCGAGCGGUGGCGGAAUCCCCUCGCCGCAGUAUGGCCGGAGUGAUGGACGAGAUGGAUGGUGGCGG
This 2580-nucleotide long non-coding RNA is filed under the name Zea mays. RNAcentral describes it as "long non-coding RNA (ZMAY_LNC004263)". Lineage: Eukaryota; Viridiplantae; Streptophyta; Magnoliopsida; Poales; Poaceae. The record is from RNAcentral.